Molecule: transfer RNA, 537 nt
Filed under: uncultured Prochlorococcus sp.
Lineage: Bacteria; Bacillati; Cyanobacteriota; Cyanophyceae; Synechococcales; Prochlorococcaceae
Description: partial 16S-23S ribosomal RNA intergenic spacer
Rfam family: tRNA (bases 209-281)
Source: RNAcentral
CAGGGAGACAACAAAAUGUUUAAUAUUAUUUUGUCACCUUAGGUCGAUCGGUAUCUCACGUUUUUAAUUUAUUAAGAAUUUCAUUUCCUAAGUUUUUCUAGGUCACACCCAUUAUUUUUCCUGGGCCAUUAGCUCAGGUGGUUAGAGCGCACCCCUGAUAAGGGUGAGGUCCCUGGUUCAAGUCCAGGAUGGCCCAUAUCUCUAUGUUGGGGGUAUAGCUCAGUUGGUAGAGCGCCUGCUUUGCAAGCAGGAUGUCAGCGGUUCGAGUCCGCUUACCUCCACUGAUUACCACCUCUUCCAUACCGGUAGAAUGGAAAUGUUUUGAGUCGUGAUCAAAUUCUGAAAGAAUCUAGCUUCCUAAUGAAAUCAUUAAGAUGCUGGACUCAUUGAAUUAAUUUCAUUGUUUUCAGAGAACCUUGACAACUGCAUAGAUUAUUUUGAAAGACAAUAAGCAUCUUUAAUGAUGCAGAUUUAUUAUUUGUGCGAAUGCAUUAAUAACAAUUCUAUUAAGCUGAUGCUUCAAUUUUUGAAGUUAUU